GGGCGCACGGUGGAUGCCUUGACACUAGGAGUCGAUGAAGGACGGGACUAACGCCGAUAUGCUUCGGGGAGCUGUAAGUAAGCUUUGAUCCGAAGAUUUCCGAAUGGGGAAACCCACCAUACGUAAUGGUAUGGUAUCCUUACCUGAAUACAUAGGGUAAGGAAGACAGACCCAGGGAACUGAAACAUCUAAGUACCUGGAGGAAGAGAAAGCAAAUGCGAUUUCCUGAGUAGCGGCGAGCGAAACGGAACAUAGCCCAAACCAAGAGGCUUGCCUCUUGGGGUUGUAGGACAUUCUAUACGGAGUUACAAAGGAACGAGGUAGACGAAGCGACCUGGAAAGGUCCGUCGUAGAGGGUAACAACCCCGUAGUCGAAACUUCGUUCUCUCUUGAAUGUAUCCUGAGUACGGCGGAACACGUGAAAUUCCGUCGGAAUCUGGGAGGACCAUCUCCCAAGGCUAAAUACUCCCUAGUGAUCGAUAGUGAACCAGUACCGUGAGGGAAAGGUGAAAAGCACCCCGGAAGGGGAGUGAAAGAGAUCCUGAAACCGUGUGCCUACAAAUAGUCAGAGCCCGUUAAUGGGUGAUGGCGUGCCUUUUGUAGAAUGAACCGGCGAGUUACGAUCCCGUGCGAGGUUAAGCUGAAGAGGCGGAGCCGCAGCGAAAGCGAGUCUGAAUAGGGCGUUUAGUACGUGGUCGUAGACCCGAAACCAGGUGAUCUACCCAUGUCCAGGGUGAAGUUCAGGUAACACUGAAUGGAGGCCCGAACCCACGCACGUUGAAAAGUGCGGGGAUGAGGUGUGGGUAGCGGAGAAAUUCCAAUCGAACCUGGAGAUAGCUGGUUCUCCCCGAAAUAGCUUUAGGGCUAGCCUUAAGUGUAAGAGUCUUGGAGGUAGAGCACUGAUUGAACUAGGGGUCCUCAUCGGAUUACCGAAUUCAGUCAAACUCCGAAUGCCAAUGACUUAUCCUUAGGAGUCAGACUGCGAGUGAUAAGAUCCGUAGUCAAGAGGGAAACAGCCCAGAUCGCCAGCUAAGGUCCCAAAGUGUGUAUUAAGUGGAAAAGGAUGUGGAGUUGCUUAGACAACUAGGAUGUUGGCUUAGAAGCAGCCACCAUUUAAAGAGUGCGUAAUAGCUCACUAGUCGAGUGACUCUGCGCCGAAAAUGUACCGGGGCUAAAUACACCACCGAAGCUGCGAAUUGAUACCAAUGGUAUCAGUGGUAGGGGAGCGUUCUAAGUGCAGUGAAGUCAGACCGGAAGGACUGGUGGAGCGCUUAGAAGUGAGAAUGCCGGUAUGAGUAGCGAAAGACGGGUGAGAAUCCCGUCCACCGAAUGCCUAAGGUUUCCUGAGGAAGGCUCGUCCGCUCAGGGUUAGUCAGGACCUAAGCCGAGGCCGACAGGCGUAGGCGAUGGACAACAGGUUGAUAUUCCUGUACCACCUCUUUAUCGUUUGAGCAAUGGAGGGACGCAGAAGGAUAGAAGAAGCGUGCGAUUGGUUGUGCACGUCCAAGCAGUUAGGCUGAUAAGUAGGCAAAUCCGCUUAUCGUGAAGGCUGAGCUGUGAUGGGGAAGCUCCUUAUGGAGCGAAGUCUUUGAUUCCCCGCUGCCAAGAAAAGCUUCUAGCGAGAUAAAAGGUGCCUGUACCGCAAACCGACACAGGUAGGCGAGGAGAGAAUCCUAAGGUGUGCGAGAGAACUCUGGUUAAGGAACUCGGCAAAAUGACCCCGUAACUUCGGGAGAAGGGGUGCUUUCUUAACGGAAAGCCGCAGUGAAUAGGCCCAAGCGACUGUUUAGCAAAAACACAGGUCUCUGCGAAGCCGUAAGGCGAAGUAUAGGGGCUGACACCUGCCCGGUGCUGGAAGGUUAAGGAGAGGGGUUAGC
Molecule: ribosomal RNA, 1877 nt
Filed under: Bacillus cereus
Lineage: Bacteria; Bacillati; Bacillota; Bacilli; Caryophanales; Bacillaceae
Description: bacterial LSU rRNA
Rfam family: Bacterial large subunit ribosomal RNA
Source: RNAcentral